CUGUUUCGAGAAGAGUGGGGACUGCUAUAUCGGGGCUUUCGGGCUCUGGUAUGAUGGAAACCAUUUUAAUCGCAAUGGCUUGAACCGGG
This 89-nucleotide ribosomal RNA is filed under the name Heterorhabditis noenieputensis. RNAcentral describes it as "partial 18S ribosomal RNA". The record is from RNAcentral. Lineage: Eukaryota; Metazoa; Nematoda; Chromadorea; Rhabditida; Heterorhabditidae.